This 253-nucleotide ribosomal RNA is filed under the name uncultured bacterium. Its description in RNAcentral is "partial 16S ribosomal RNA". It matches the Rfam family "Bacterial small subunit ribosomal RNA", at positions 524 to 776 of the family's 1533-position model. The record is from RNAcentral.
UACGGAGGAGGCAAGCGUUAUCCGGAAUUAUUGGGCGUAAAGCGUCCGUAGGUGGUUUAGUAAGUCUGCUGUUAAAGCGCGGGGCUUAACUCCGUAUCGGCAGUGGAAACUACUAGACUAGAGUGUGGUAGGGGUAGAGGGAAUUCCCAGUGUAGCGGUGAAAUGCGUAGAUAUUGGGAAGAACACCGGUGGCGAAGGCGGCGCUCUGGGCUGGAACUGACGCUGAGGAGCGAAAGCGUGGGGAGCGAACAGG